GCCCUGAUGGCUCAGUUGGUUAGAGCGCAGGUCUCAUAUUAUAAAUAUGACCGAGUAUAUUCGGGCAAUCCUGAGGUCGCAAGUUCGAACCUUGCUCAGGGCA
Molecule: transfer RNA, 103 nt
Organism: Suillus luteus
Lineage: Eukaryota; Fungi; Basidiomycota; Agaricomycetes; Boletales; Suillaceae
Rfam family: tRNA
About the family: Transfer RNA (tRNA) molecules are approximately 80 nucleotides in length.
Source: Rfam